GCGGUCUUUUUUGUUUUUGCCAUUGGUCUUGUAUGUUCUUUUUCGAAUGAAAUUGUUAUCCCCCCUUUGGGUGAAUCUUCAUACUAUUUUGAACUUUAUAUCAAAUAAAAAAAAAUCUUAUAUAAGAUUAUUUUUUUUCAAAAAUCCAUGUAUGACAAAAUGCAGACUAAAUACCACCCUAUGUUAAAGUAUAAUGGCGUAGUGACAUUUGACCUAUACGUAAUGGCAUUCCAG
This 234-nucleotide long non-coding RNA is filed under the name Mytilus galloprovincialis (Mediterranean mussel). The record is from RNAcentral. Lineage: Eukaryota; Metazoa; Mollusca; Bivalvia; Mytilida; Mytilidae.